RNAcentral lists this ribosomal RNA (253 nucleotides) under uncultured bacterium. Its description in RNAcentral is "partial 16S ribosomal RNA". It matches the Rfam family "Bacterial small subunit ribosomal RNA", at positions 524 to 776 of the family's 1533-position model. The record is from RNAcentral.
UACGUAGGGUGCAAGCGUUAAUCGGAAUUACUGGGCGUAAAGCGUGCGCAGGCGGUGGUGUAAGACAGGUGUGAAAUCCCCGGGCUUAACCUGGGAACUGCAUUUGUGACUGCAUCGCUGGAGUGCGGCAGAGGGGGAUGGAAUUCCGCGUGUAGCAGUGAAAUGCGUAGAUAUGCGGAGGAACACCGAUGGCGAAGGCAAUCCCCUGGGCCUGCACUGACGCUCAUGCACGAAAGCGUGGGGAGCAAACAGG